UACAGAGGGUGCAAGCGUUAAUCGGAAUCACUGGGCGUAAAGCGCACGUAGGCGGAUUGCUAAGUCAGGGGUGAAAUCCUGGAGCUCAACUCCAGAACUGCCUUUGAUACUGGCGAUCUUGAGUCCGGGAGAGGUGAGUGGAACUGCGAGUGUAGAGGUGAAAUUCGUAGAUAUUCGCAAGAACACCAGUGGCGAAGGCGGCUCACUGGCCCGGUACUGACGCUGAGGUGCGAAAGCGUGGGGAGCAAACAGG
Molecule: ribosomal RNA, 253 nt
Filed under: uncultured bacterium
Lineage: Bacteria
Description: partial 16S ribosomal RNA
Rfam family: Bacterial small subunit ribosomal RNA
Source: RNAcentral